Molecule: ribosomal RNA, 200 nt
Filed under: uncultured bacterium
Lineage: Bacteria
Description: partial 16S ribosomal RNA
Rfam family: Bacterial small subunit ribosomal RNA
Source: RNAcentral
AAUCAACGCUGGCGGCGUGCCUAACACAUGCAAGUCGAACGAGAAAGCGGGGGCAACUCCGUGAGUACAGUGGCGACCGGGUGAGUAACACGUGACCAACCUGCCCUCGAGUGGGGAAUAACUCCGGGAAACCGGAGCUAAUACCGCAUAACAUCGCAAGAUCAAAGCCGCAAGGCGCUUGAGGAGGGGGUCGCGGCUGA